RNAcentral lists this ribosomal RNA (523 nucleotides) under Parmelina tiliacea. RNAcentral's name for it is "SSU rRNA". It matches the Rfam family "Bacterial small subunit ribosomal RNA", at positions 385 to 929 of the family's 1533-position model. The record is from RNAcentral. Lineage: Eukaryota; Fungi; Ascomycota; Lecanoromycetes; Lecanorales; Parmeliaceae.
CUUGCAUCAUUGUAAUGAUGAUGCAAGAUCGACUAUGUCGAAUAAAAUUCUAGGUAGAAUUAUGAUAAUGACAUUGUCUGCCUAUGUGUCUUGACCAAAUUACGUGCCAGCAGUCGCGGUAAUACGUAGAAGACUAGUGUUAUUCAUGUUUAAUCGGUUUAAAGGGUACCUAGACAGCAAAUCAAGCUUUCAAAAAAAGAAAAGGACUAAUUUGCUAGAGUUACUUAUGAGGGGGUUUUAAAGUACUGAUGGUGUAGAGAUGAAAUUCUGUCAUACCUCUUUUCAAAAGAAAAAUUGAUGGCACAGGUAUAGGCGAAGGCAUCCCCUUAUGUGAUAACUGACGUUGAGGGACGAAGGCUUAUACAGCGAACAGGAUUAGAUACCCCAGUAGUCUAAGCAGAAAAUGAUGAAUGUCAUAGAUUAGAUAUAUAAGUUUAUUCUAUAAAUGAAAGUGUAAGCAUUCCACCUCAUGAGUAAUUUGGCAACAUUGGAACUGAAAUCAUUAGACCGUUUCUGAAACCAG